AUGUUAGCGGCGGACGGGUGAGUAACACGUGGGUAACCUGCCUGUAAGACUGGGAUAACUCCGGGAAACCGGAGCUAAUACCGGAUAGUUCCUUGAACCGCAUGGUUCAAGGAUGAAAGACGGUUUCGGCUGUCACUUACAGAUGGACCCGCGGCGCAUUAGCUAGUUGGUGGGGUAAUGGCUCACCAAGGCGACGAUGCGUAGCCGACCUGAGAGGGUGAUCGGCCACACUGGGACUGAGACACGGCCCAGACUCCUACGGGAGGCAGCAGUAGGGAAUCUUCCGCAAUGGACGAAAGUCUGACGGAGCAACGCCGCGUGAGUGAUGAAGGUUUUCGGAUCGUAAAGCUCUGUUGUUAGGGAAAAACAAGUGCGAGAGUAACUGCUCGCACCUUGACGGUACCUAACCAGAAAGCCACGGCUAACUACGUGCCAGCAGCCGCGGUAAUACGUAGGUGGCAAGCGUUGUCCGGAAUUAUUGGGCGUAAAGGGCUCGCAGGCGGUUUCUUAAGUCUGAUGUGAAAGCCCCCGGCUCAACCGGGGAGGGUCAUUGGAAACUGGGAAACUUGAGUGCAGAAGAGGAGAGUGGAAUUCCACGUGUAGCGGUGAAAUGCGUAGAGAUGUGGAGGAACACCAGUGGCGAAGGCGACUCUCUGGUCUGUAACUGACGCUGAGGAGCGAAAGCGUGGGGAGCGAACAGGAUUAGAUACCCUGGUAGUCCACGCCGUAAACGAUGAGUGCUAAGUGUUAGGGGGUUUCCGCCCCUUAGUGCUG
Molecule: ribosomal RNA, 774 nt
Filed under: Peribacillus acanthi
Lineage: Bacteria; Bacillati; Bacillota; Bacilli; Caryophanales; Bacillaceae
Description: bacterial SSU rRNA
Rfam family: Bacterial small subunit ribosomal RNA
Source: RNAcentral